Molecule: long non-coding RNA, 411 nt
Organism: Drosophila persimilis
Lineage: Eukaryota; Metazoa; Arthropoda; Insecta; Diptera; Drosophilidae
Exons: 2
Source: RefSeq, a predicted model, not a curated record
CUGUGCUUUCAGUGCUGGCUCUUUUAGCGUCAUCUACAUUUGCAGGACCCGUGGGAAGGAAAAUUUUCAUGUCCGAGGGUGACCUCUCUACUGCCGACUCUGUCAGCUAUGGCUACUAUGCGGCUCCUAUUCCAGCUUACGGAUACGGAGGGGGAUAUAAGUACGGAGGAUACAGCGGCUACGGUAGAUAUCGCAGCUACGGAAGCUACUAUCGUCCACCAAUUUAUCCAGUCUGGGGCUAAGGCUAAUCCCUGAACAUCACCCUUAAAUGAACACUAGCGGCUUUACCACUAUUGUAACCAAAGAAGUUGUGUAAACGUACCAAAAAUACUGGCAUUUGGGAUGAAGUUUUUGACCCCAGAAACAAUUAACACCGCCCCGGCAUAAUCGCAAUAAAAGCAAAACAUCUUA